Molecule: ribosomal RNA, 253 nt
Filed under: uncultured bacterium
Lineage: Bacteria
Description: partial 16S ribosomal RNA
Rfam family: Bacterial small subunit ribosomal RNA
Source: RNAcentral
UACGAAGGGGGCUAGCGUUGUUCGGAAUUACUGGGCGUAAAGCGCACGUAGGCGGAUUGUUAAGUUAGGGGUGAAAUCCCAGGGCUCAACCCUGGAACUGCCUUUAAUACUGGCAAUCUCGAGUCCGAGAGAGGUGAGUGGAAUUCCGAGUGUAGAGGUGAAAUUCGUAGAUAUUCGGAGGAACACCAGUGGCGAAGGCGGCUCACUGGCUCGGUACUGGCGCUGAGGUGCGAAAGCGUGGGGAGCAAACAGG